UACAGAGGUCCCAAGCGUUGUUCGGAUUCACUGGGCGUAAAGGGUGCGUAGGUGGUUGAGUAAGUCUGAUGUGAAAUCUCCGGGCUUAACCCGGAAACUGCAUUGGAAACUGCCUGACUAGAGGGUUGGAGGGGGGACUGGAAUACUUGGUGUAGCAGUGAAAUGCGUAGAUAUCAAGUGGAACACCAGUGGCGAAGGCGAGUCCCUGGACAACUCCUGACACUGAGGCACGAAAGCUAGGGGAGCAAACAGG
Molecule: ribosomal RNA, 253 nt
Filed under: uncultured bacterium
Lineage: Bacteria
Description: partial 16S ribosomal RNA
Rfam family: Bacterial small subunit ribosomal RNA
Source: RNAcentral